RNAcentral lists this transfer RNA (83 nucleotides) under Candidatus Woesearchaeota archaeon. Its description in RNAcentral is "tRNA-Leu". It matches the Rfam family "tRNA". From Rfam's summary of the family: Transfer RNA (tRNA) molecules are approximately 80 nucleotides in length. Their secondary structure includes four short double-helical elements and three loops (D, anti-codon, and T loops). Lineage: Archaea; Nanobdellati; Candidatus Woesearchaeota. The record is from RNAcentral.
GUGGGAGUGCCGGAGCGGAAAACGGGCUAGGCUUAGGACCUAGUGACUUAGUGUCUACGCAGGUUCAAAUCCUGUCUCCCACA